CAGCAAUAAAAAGAAAAAGGCUAUUGAUACAACAUGGAUGUCUUAAAAAACAUACAUCCGACUACAGGAUAUGGCGGAGUCCAGGCACUGUGUGGCUGGACCCCCAGCUCUGGGGCCACGCCACGGAACCGCUUACUGCUGCAGCUUUUGGGGUCACCCGGCCACCGCUGUUACAGUCUUCCCCCGCAUCAGAAGGUUCCAUUGCCUUCUCUUUCCCCCACAAUGCAGUCAGGCGCCAUAGCCCAUUGGGAAAAAAAAGAGGGGGGCAAAAUCAACGAAGGUGACCUAAUUGCAGAAGUUGAAACUGAUAAAGCCACUGUUGGAUUUGAGAGCCUGGAGGAGUGUUAUAUGGCAAAGAUACUUGUUGCUGAAGGUACCAGGGAUGUUCCCAUUGGAGCAAUCAUCUGUAUCACAGUUGGCAAGCCUGAGGAUAUUGAGGCUUUUAAAAAUUAUACAUUGGAUUCCUCAGCAGCACCUACCCCACAGGCGGCCCCAGCACCAACCCCUGCUGCCACUGCUUCACCACCUACACCUUCUGCUCAGGCUCCUGGUAGCUCAUAUCCCCCUCACAUGCAGGUACUUCUUCCUGCCCUCUCUCGCACCAUGACCAUGGGCACAGUUCAGAGAUGGGAAAAAAAAGUGGGUGAGAAGCUAAGUGAAGGAGACUUACUGGCAGAGAUAGAGACUGACAAAGCCACUAUAGGUUUUGAAGUACAGGAAGCAGGUUAUCUGGCAAAAAUCCUGGUCCCUGAAGGCACAAGAGAUGUCCCUCUAGGAACCCCACUCUGUAUCAUUGUAGAAAAAGAGGCAGAUAUAUCAGCAUUUGCUGACUAUAGGCCAACUGAAGUAACAGAUUUAAAACCACAAGCACUACCACCUACCCCACCCCCGGUGGCCACUGUUCCUCCAACUCCCCAGCCUUUAGCUCCUACACCUUCAGCACCCUGCCCAGCUACUCCUGCUGGACCAAAGGGAAGGGUGUUUGUUAGCCCUCUUGCAAAGAAGUUGGCAGUAGAGAAAGGGAUUGAUCUUACACAAGUAAAAGGUACAGGACCAGAUGGUAGAAUCACCAAGAAGGAUAUUGACUCUUUUGUGCCUAGUAAAGCUGCUCCUGCUCCAGCAGCUGUUGUGCCUCCCACAGGUCCUGGAAUGGCACCAGUUCCUACAGAUGUCUUCACAGAUAUCCCAAUUAGCAACAUUCGUCAGGUUAUUGCACAACAAUUAAUGCAAUCAAAGCAAACCAUACCUCAUUAUUACCUUUCUAUAGAUGUAAAUAUGGGAGAAGUUUUGUUGGUACGGAAAGAACUUAGUAAGAUUUUAGAAGGGAGAAGCAAAAUUUCUGUCAAUGACUUCAUCAUAAAAGCUUCAGCUUUGGCAUGUCUAAAAGUUCCCAAAGCAAAUUCUUCUUGGAUGGACACAGUUAUGAGACAAAAUCACAUUGUUGAUAUCAGUGUUGCAGUCAGUACUCCUAUAGGACUCAUCACACCUAUUGUGUUUAAUGCACAUAUAAAAGGGCUGGAAACCAUUACUAAUGAUGAUGUUUCUUUAGCAACCAAAGCAAGAGAGGGUAAACUACAGCCACACAAAUUCCAGGGUGGCACUUUUACGAUCUCCAAUUUAGGAAUGUUUGGAAUUAAGAAUUUCUCUGCUAUUAUUAACCUACCUCAAGCAUGUAUUUUGGCAGUUGGUGCUUCAGAGGAUAAACUGGUUCCCACAGAUAAUGAAAAAGGGUUUGAUGUGGCUAGCAUGAUGUCUGUUACACUCAGUUGUGAUCACCAGGUGGUGGAUGGAGCAGUUAGAGACCAGUGGCUUGCUGAGUUUAGAAAGUACCUUGAAAAACCUAUCACCAUGUUGUUGUAACUAACUCAAUAGAAAGAAAAGAGAGCACCAAAGAUUGAGGGGAGAAAUCCUCCAGUGCAGGGGUAUGAAGUGCAGGGGUAUGAAGAAAAGACUCUCCCAGGUCACAAUGAUUCAUUCUUAUCAAGAUAUUUAUGUAUUAAACAGGUGGUUCGUUUUAUUUUAACCAGUUAUUUUUAUUAUUGAGUCUGUCUAGAUAAGUUAUUUAUAAUGGACAUUACUGAAUUUUUAAAAUGCCGAUUACACCCAAAUAUUGUGCACAUUUAAUAAUCAGACACCAGAUUUUUAGCUCUAUACUCCUAAUUAAGGGACAUGUGACUUUGCCUAGCCCUCUGGUGAUAAGUACUUCCACUAGGAAAUGUAGAAUAGGUAGAAUUGUGGUUCCCUAAAGAAAAGGACAUAAAGGUAACCUGGAUGGAACCUUGAAGUUCUGAAAUUUAAUCUCCUAAAAUGUUCUCCUUAGAUGUGAGAGAAGGAGAAAUCAGGAAAAUUAAUUCUUGUAGGGAAAGGGCUUGAAUUGAAGCUUUACUUUAGAAUUUAACCCUGGUUUGAAAUUUUCCAUUGUAUGAUCUUGGUUUAUCAUCGAUGGGAAGGGUAGAAAACUUCAAGGAAAAUAAGUGAAAUUUUCAAAGUCAACGUUUUGUUAGACCUUUUCAGCUGAUUGUUUAUUUUUCUGUGAAUCCCUAUACACAGUUGUUUCCCUUCCUCUUGAGAUAAUCUAAAUAUAAACCAGCCACUUAAUAUAAAUGAAAGAAAAAAAUAUAUACAUCCGUGAAGACAAAGGUUGAUGGCCUUUGUGUGAGUUAUACAGG
This is an RNA transcript of Cercocebus atys (sooty mangabey), 2669 nucleotides long. It is a transcript of the gene named dihydrolipoyllysine-residue acetyltransferase component of pyruvate dehydrogenase complex, mitochondrial pseudogene, with no coding region annotated. The record is from RefSeq and is a predicted model, not a curated record. Lineage: Eukaryota; Metazoa; Chordata; Mammalia; Primates; Cercopithecidae. The transcript has a single exon.